GAGUUUGAUCAUGGCUCAGAUUGAACGCUGGCGGCAUGCCUUACACAUGCAAGUCGAACGGCAGCAUGAUCUAGCUUGCUAGAUUGAUGGCGAGUGGUGAACGGGUGAGUAAUACAUCGGAACGUGCCCUGUAGUGGGGGAUAACUAGUCGAAAGAUUAGCUAAUACCGCAUACGACCUGAGGGUGAAAGUGGGGGACCGCAAGGCCUCAUGCUAUAGGAGCGGCCGAUGUCUGAUUAGCUAGUCGGUGGGGUAAAGGCCCACCAAGGCGACGAUCAGUAGCUGGUCUGAGAGGACGAUCAGCCACACUGGGACUGAGACACGGCCCAGACUCCUACGGGAGGCAGCAGUGGGGAAUUUUGGACAAUGGGCGAAAGCCUGAUCCAGCAAUGCCGCGUGUGUGAAGAAGGCCUCGGUU
This 417-nucleotide ribosomal RNA is filed under the name uncultured microorganism. Its description in RNAcentral is "bacterial SSU rRNA". It matches the Rfam family "Bacterial small subunit ribosomal RNA", at positions 9 to 424 of the family's 1533-position model. The record is from RNAcentral.